Molecule: ribosomal RNA, 523 nt
Filed under: Pseudomonas sp. NZWT10
Lineage: Bacteria; Pseudomonadati; Pseudomonadota; Gammaproteobacteria; Pseudomonadales; Pseudomonadaceae
Description: bacterial SSU rRNA
Rfam family: Bacterial small subunit ribosomal RNA
Source: RNAcentral
AGAGUUUGAUCCUGGCUCAGAUUGAACGCUGGCGGCAGGCCUAACACAUGCAAGUCGAGCGGUAGAGAGAAGCUUGCUUCUCUUGAGAGCGGCGGACGGGUGAGUAAUGCCUAGGAAUCUGCCUGGUAGUGGGGGAUAACGUUCGGAAACGGACGCUAAUACCGCAUACGUCCUACGGGAGAAAGCAGGGGACCUUCGGGCCUUGCGCUAUCAGAUGAGCCUAGGUCGGAUUAGCUAGUUGGUGAGGUAAUGGCUCACCAAGGCGACGAUCCGUAACUGGUCUGAGAGGAUGAUCAGUCACACUGGAACUGAGACACGGUCCAGACUCCUACGGGAGGCAGCAGUGGGGAAUAUUGGACAAUGGGCGAAAGCCUGAUCCAGCCAUGCCGCGUGUGUGAAGAAGGUCUUCGGAUUGUAAAGCACUUUAAGUUGGGAGGAAGGGCAGUUACCUAAUACGUGAUUGUUUUGACGUUACCGACAGAAUAAGCACCGGCUAACUCUGUGCCAGCAGCCGCGGUAAUAC